This is a long non-coding RNA of Culex quinquefasciatus (southern house mosquito), 643 nucleotides long. RefSeq lists it as uncharacterized. The record is from RefSeq and is a predicted model, not a curated record. NCBI's taxonomy places the organism in Eukaryota, Metazoa, Arthropoda, Insecta, Diptera, Culicidae. The transcript has 2 exons.
AUGCGCUCUGUCGGCUCUGUCAAAUCGAACAUCAGCAAUGUUUGAAUAUUUAUUAUUGAAGGAGCAUUUCUGGCUCUUAAAUUCCCUAAUUACGGCCAUAAAUAGCCGAAACUUGCACCUUCAGUCUGGAAACCAGGAAAAAAGAAACAAAUUUGUGCACUGGUUUUGGUUGUUUCACUGGGUAAAAAUCCAGAAUGCUUCGCGACAAGAAAUCUUUUUUCAGGUUGUUUCACUGGGUAAAAAUCCAGAAUGCUUCGCGACAAGAACUCUUCCGGCACCCUUUGGCCCUGACGGCUGACGAUUACGAUUCCUGAAACUCAUCCCGAAAGAUUGCUACAGAAGUGGUACUAUGGAACCGUUUUAGCUGGUCUAUUUCAAAAAGGUUAAUCCUUGCAAGCAUAUGACCGUCGGUUGGAUCGGAAACGGGACGGUCUACAAUACGCAGCUGGCUGACUAAAAAAACCAGCCGGUGGGGCGAGUACGUCAAGAUGGAAUAAACCAGAAGCAAACAAGUUCUGGUCAGAUUGCUCAGAACGAAAAUAAAGGAAUGUACAAAGAAGAACAUAGUUUUUGAAAAUUCAUUUUUGUAUGUGCUUCUCGAAGUAUGAAGUGUGAAACUAAUAAAACUGUAUGAAAAAGGCAA